AAAUUGAAGAGUUUGAUCAUGGCUCAGAUUGAACGCUGGCGGCAGGCCUAACACAUGCAAGUCGAGCGGUAGCACAGAAGAGCUUGCUCUUCGGGUGACGAGCGGCGGACGGGUGAGUAAUGUCUGGGAAACUGCCUGAUGGAGGGGGAUAACUACUGGAAACGGUAGCUAAUACCGCAUAACGUCUUCGGACCAAAGAGGGGGACCUUCGGGCCUCUUGCCAUCGGAUGUGCCCAGAUGGGAUUAGCUAGUAGGUGAGGUAAUGGCUCACCUAGGCGACGAUCCCUAGCUGGUCUGAGAGGAUGACCAGCCACACUGGAACUGAGACACGGUCCAGACUCCUACGGGAGGCAGCAGUGGGGAAUAUUGCACAAUGGGCGCAAGCCUGAUGCAGCCAUGCCGCGUGUGUGAAGAAGGCCUUCGGGUUGUAAAGCACUUUCAGCGGGGAGGAAGGCGAUAAGGUUAAUAACCUUGUCGAUUGACGUUACCCGCAGAAGAAGCACCGGCUAACUCCGUGCCAGCAGCCGCGGUAAUACGGAGGGUGCAAGCGUUAAUCGGAAUGACUGGGCGUAAAGCGCACGCAGGCGGUCUGUUAAGUUGGAUGUGAAAUCCCCGGGCUUAACCUGGGAACUGCAUUCAAAACUGACAGGCUAGAGUCUUGUAGAGGGGGGUAGAAUUCCAGGUGUAGCGGUGAAAUGCGUAGAGAUCUGGAGGAAUACCGGUGGCGAAGGCGGCCCCCUGGACAAAGACUGACGCUCAGGUGCGAAAGCGUGGGGAGCAAACAGGAUUAGAUACCCUGGUAGUCCACGCUGUAAACGAUGUCGACUUGGAGGUUGUGCCCUUGAGGCGUGGCUUCCGGAGCUAACGCGUUAAGUCGACCGCCUGGGGAGUACGGCCGCAAGGUUAAAACUCAAAUGAAUUGACGGGGGCCCGCACAAGCGGUGGAGCAUGUGGUUUAAUUCGAUGCAACGCGAAGAACCUUACCUACUCUUGACAUCCACAGAAUUUGGUAGAGAUACCUUAGUGCCUUCGGGAACUGUGAGACAGGUGCUGCAUGGCUGUCGUCAGCUCGUGUUGUGAAAUGUUGGGUUAAGUCCCGCAACGAGCGCAACCCUUAUCCUUUGUUGCCAGCACGUAAUGGUGGGAACUCAAAGGAGACUGCCGGUGAUAAACCGGAGGAAGGUGGGGAUGACGUCAAGUCAUCAUGGCCCUUACGAGUAGGGCUACACACGUGCUACAAUGGCGUAUACAAAGAGAAGCGAACUCGCGAGAGCAAGCGGACCUCAUAAAGUACGUCGUAGUCCGGAUUGGAGUCUGCAACUCGAUUCCAUGAAGUCGGAAUCGCUAGUAAUCGUAGAUCAGAAUGCUACGGUGAAUACGUUCCCGGGCCUUGUACACACCGCCCGUCACACCAUGGGAGUGGGUUGCAAAAGAAGUAGGUAGCUUAACCUUCGGGAGGGCGCUUACCACUUUGUGAUUCAUGACUGGGGUGAAGUCGUAACAAGGUAACCGUAGGGGAACCUGCGGUUGGAUCACCUCCUUA
RNAcentral lists this ribosomal RNA (1543 nucleotides) under Pectobacterium parmentieri WPP163. RNAcentral's name for it is "Pectobacterium wasabiae WPP163 16S ribosomal RNA". It matches the Rfam family "Bacterial small subunit ribosomal RNA". The record is from RNAcentral. Lineage: Bacteria; Pseudomonadati; Pseudomonadota; Gammaproteobacteria; Enterobacterales; Pectobacteriaceae.